RNAcentral lists this unclassified non-coding RNA (267 nucleotides) under plant metagenome. RNAcentral's name for it is "partial contains small subunit ribosomal RNA, internal transcribed spacer 1, and 5.8S ribosomal RNA". The record is from RNAcentral.
UCUCCGUAGGUGAACCUGCGGAAGGAUCAUUAUCUUACUAAAUGUGAGGGGCAUUCGAGCGCUGUCGCUGACCCAAAAGUCGUGCACGACCGAGUUUCUCAUCUUGCAUAAUAAUCCAUCUCACCCUUUGUGCAUCACCGCAUGGUCACCCCACGGGAUCAUCUCGGAAGGGGUCUCGCGUUUACACACAAACCCCCCUUUCAAAAGUGUAGAAUGACCAAAUAUACGAAAUCAAUACAACUUUCAACAACGGAUCUCUUGGCUCUC